Molecule: microRNA, 21 nt
Filed under: Panagrellus redivivus
Lineage: Eukaryota; Metazoa; Nematoda; Chromadorea; Rhabditida; Panagrolaimidae
Description: prd-miR-252-3p
Gene: prd-miR-252-3p
Source: miRBase by way of RNAcentral
CCUGAUCAUUGCUGCUUAAAA